This 68-nucleotide transfer RNA is filed under the name Calliotropis micraulax. RNAcentral describes it as "tRNA-Asp". Lineage: Eukaryota; Metazoa; Mollusca; Gastropoda; Seguenziida; Calliotropidae. The record is from RNAcentral.
GGAGAAUUAGUUAACAAAAUAAUACAAGCCUGUCACGCUUGAGUCACUUCAUAGGGUAGUAUUCUCCG